UCUAGUGGUGAUGCGUUCAUGGGUUACACCCGUACCCAUACCGAACACGAAGGUUAAGACAUGAACGGCUGAUGGUACUGCAUGGGCGACUGUGUGGGAGAGUAAGUGGUCGCUAGGU
Molecule: ribosomal RNA, 118 nt
Filed under: Clostridium manihotivorum
Lineage: Bacteria; Bacillati; Bacillota; Clostridia; Eubacteriales; Clostridiaceae
Source: RNAcentral